RNAcentral lists this ribosomal RNA (490 nucleotides) under uncultured bacterium. Its description in RNAcentral is "partial 16S ribosomal RNA". It matches the Rfam family "Bacterial small subunit ribosomal RNA", at positions 29 to 507 of the family's 1533-position model. The record is from RNAcentral.
AGUGAACGCUGGCGGUAGGCCUAACACAUGCAAGUCGAACGGCAGCACAGGAGAGCUUGCUCUCUGGGUGGCGAGUGGCGGACGGGUGAGGAAUACAUCGGAAUCUACCUUUUCGUGGGGGAUAACGUAGGGAAACUUACGCUAAUACCGCAUACGACCUUCGGGUGAAAGCAGGGGACCUUCGGGCCUUGCGCGGAUAGAUGAGCCGAUGUCGGAUUAGCUAGUUGGCGGGGUAAAGGCCAACCAAGGCGACGAUCCGUAGCUGGUCUGAGAGGAUGAUCAGCCACACUGGAACUGAGACACGGUCCAGACUCCUACGGGAGGCAGCAGUGGGGAAUAUUGGACAAUGGGCGCAAGCCUGAUCCAGCCAUACCGCGUGGGUGAAGAAGGCCUUCGGGUUGUAAAGCCCUUUUGUUGGGAAAGAAAAGCAGCCGGUUAAUACCCGGUUGUUCUGACGGUACCCAAAGAAUAAGCACCGGCUAACUUCGUG